GCCUGAGUGGCUCAGUCAGUUGAGCGUCCGACUUCAGCUCAGGUCAUGAUCUCACAGUUCAUGGGUUCGAGCCCCAUGUUGGGCU
Molecule: transfer RNA, 85 nt
Filed under: Felis catus (domestic cat)
Lineage: Eukaryota; Metazoa; Chordata; Mammalia; Carnivora; Felidae
Rfam family: tRNA
About the family: Transfer RNA (tRNA) molecules are approximately 80 nucleotides in length. Their secondary structure includes four short double-helical elements and three loops (D, anti-codon, and T loops).
Source: Rfam by way of RNAcentral